RNAcentral lists this ribosomal RNA (254 nucleotides) under uncultured bacterium. RNAcentral's name for it is "partial 16S ribosomal RNA". It matches the Rfam family "Bacterial small subunit ribosomal RNA", at positions 524 to 776 of the family's 1533-position model. The record is from RNAcentral.
UACGUAGGGGGCGAGCGUUGUCCGGAUUCAUUGGGCGUAAAGAGCUCGUAGGCGGUUUAGCAAGUCAGCGGUGAAAGCUCGGAACUCAACUCCGAGAGGCCCGUUGAUACUGCUAUGACUUGAGUCCGGUAGAGGAGUGUGGAACUCCUGGUGUAGCGGUGAAAUGCGCAGAUAUCAGGAAGAACACCGGUGGCGAAGGCGGCACUCUGGGCCGGAACUGACGCUGAGGAGCGAAAGCUAGGGGAGCAAACAGG